GGUUAAGCGACUAAGCGUACACGGUGGAUGCCCUGGCAGUCAGAGGCGAUGAAGGACGUGCUAAUCUGCGAUAAGCGUCGGUAAGGUGAUAUGAACCGUUAUAACCGGCGAUUUCCGAAUGGGGAAACCCAGUGUGAUUCGUCACACUAUCAUUAACUGAAUCCAUAGGUUAAUGAGGCGAACCGGGGGAACUGAAACAUCUAAGUACCCCGAGGAAAAGAAAUCAACCGAGAUUCCCCCAGUAGCGGCGAGCGAACGGGGAGCAGCCCAGAGCCUGAAUCAGUGUGUGUGUUAGUGGAAGCGUCUGGAAAGGCGCGCGAUACAGGGUGACAGCCCCGUACACAAAAAUGCACAUGCUGUGAGCUCGAUGAGUAGGGCGGGACACGUGGUAUCCUGUCUGAAUAUGGGGGGACCAUCCUCCAAGGCUAAAUACUCCUGACUGACCGAUAGUGAACCAGUACCGUGAGGGAAAGGCGAAAAGAACCCCGGCGAGGGGAGUGAAAAAGAACCUGAAACCGUGUACGUACAAGCAGUGGGAGCACAGAGCAAUCUGUGUGACUGCGUACCUUUUGUAUAAUGGGUCAGCGACUUAUAUUCUGUAGCAAGGUUAACCGAAUAGGGGAGCCGAAGGGAAACCGAGUCUUAACUGGGCGUUAAGUUGCAGGGUAUAGACCCGAAACCCGGUGAUCUAGCCAUGGGCAGGUUGAAGGUUGGGUAACACUAACUGGAGGACCGAACCGACUAAUGUUGAAAAAUUAGCGGAUGACUUGUGGCUGGGGGUGAAAGGCCAAUCAAACCGGGAGAUAGCUGGUUCUCCCCGAAAGCUAUUUAGGUAGCGCCUCGUGAAUUCAUCUCCGGGGGUAGAGCACUGUUUCGGCAAGGGGGUCAUCCCGACUUACCAACCCGAUGCAAACUGCGAAUACCGGAGAAUGUUAUCACGGGAGACACACGGCGGGUGCUAACGUCCGUCGUGAAGAGGGAAACAACCCAGACCGCCAGCUAAGGUCCCAAAGUCAUGGUUAAGUGGGAAACGAUGUGGGAAGGCCCAGACAGCCAGGAUGUUGGCUUAGAAGCAGCCAUCAUUUAAAGAAAGCGUAAUAGCUCACUGGUCGAGUCGGCCUGCGCGGAAGAUGUAACGGGGCUAAACCAUGCACCGAAGCUGCGGCAGCGACGCUUAUGCGUUGUUGGGUAGGGGAGCGUUCUGUAAGCCUGUGAAGGUGUACUGUGAGGUAUGCUGGAGGUAUCAGAAGUGCGAAUGCUGACAUAAGUAACGAUAAAGCGGGUGAAAAGCCCGCUCGCCGGAAGACCAAGGGUUCCUGUCCAACGUUAAUCGGGGCAGGGUGAGUCGACCCCUAAGGCGAGGCCGAAAGGCGUAGUCGAUGGGAAACAGGUUAAUAUUCCUGUACUUGGUGUUACUGCGAAGGGGGGACGGAGAAGGCUAUGUUGGCCGGGCGACGGUUGUCCCGGUUUAAGCGUGUAGGCUGGUUUUCCAGGCAAAUCCGGAAAAUCAAGGCUGAGGCGUGAUGACGAGGCACUACGGUGCUGAAGCAACAAAUGCCCUGCUUCCAGGAAAAGCCUCUAAGCAUCAGGUAACAUCAAAUCGUACCCCAAACCGACACAGGUGGUCAGGUAGAGAAUACCAAGGCGCUUGAGAGAACUCGGGUGAAGGAACUAGGCAAAAUGGUGCCGUAACUUCGGGAGAAGGCACGCUGAUAUGUAGGUGAAGUCCCUCGCGGAUGGAGCUGAAAUCAGUCGAAGAUACCAGCUGGCUGCAACUGUUUAUUAAAAACACAGCACUGUGCAAACACGAAAGUGGACGUAUACGGUGUGACGCCUGCCCGGUGCCGGAAGGUUAAUUGAUGGGGUCAGCGCAAGCGAAGCUCUUGAUCGAAGCCCCGGUAAACGGCGGCCGUAACUAUAACGGUCCUAAGGUAGCGAAAUUCCUUGUCGGGUAAGUUCCGACCUGCACGAAUGGCGUAAUGAUGGCCAGGCUGUCUCCACCCGAGACUCAGUGAAAUUGAACUCGCUGUGAAGAUGCAGUGUACCCGCGGCAAGACGGAAAGACCCCGUGAACCUUUACUAUAGCUUGACACUGAACAUUGAGCCUUGAUGUGUAGGAUAGGUGGGAGGCUUUGAAGUGUGGACGCCAGUCUGCAUGGAGCCGACCUUGAAAUACCACCCUUUAAUGUUUGAUGUUCUAACGUUGACCCGUAAUCCGGGUUGCGGACAGUGUCUGGUGGGUAGUUUGACUGGGGCGGUCUCCUCCUAAAGAGUAACGGAGGAGCACGAAGGUUGGCUAAUCCUGGUCGGACAUCAGGAGGUUAGUGCAAUGGCAUAAGCCAGCUUGACUGCGAGCGUGACGGCGCGAGCAGGUGCGAAAGCAGGUCAUAGUGAUCCGGUGGUUCUGAAUGGAAGGGCCAUCGCUCAACGGAUAAAAGGUACUCCGGGGAUAACAGGCUGAUACCGCCCAAGAGUUCAUAUCGACGGCGGUGUUUGGCACCUCGAUGUCGGCUCAUCACAUCCUGGGGCUGAAGUAGGUCCCAAGGGUAUGGCUGUUCGCCAUUUAAAGUGGUACGCGAGCUGGGUUUAGAACGUCGUGAGACAGUUCGGUCCCUAUCUGCCGUGGGCGCUGGAGAACUGAGGGGGGCUGCUCCUAGUACGAGAGGACCGGAGUGGACGCAUCACUGGUGUUCGGGUUGUCAUGCCAAUGGCACUGCCCGGUAGCUAAAUGCGGAAGAGAUAAGUGCUGAAAGCAUCUAAGCACGAAACUUGCCCCGAGAUGAGUUCUCCCUGACUCCUUGAGAGUCCUGAAGGAACGUUGAAGACGACGACGUUGAUAGGCCGGGUGUGUAAGCGCAGCGAUGCGUUGAGCUAACCGGUACUAAUGAACCGUGAGGCUUAACCUU
RNAcentral lists this ribosomal RNA (2906 nucleotides) under Escherichia coli. Its description in RNAcentral is "23S ribosomal RNA". It matches the Rfam family "Bacterial large subunit ribosomal RNA". The record is from RNAcentral. Lineage: Bacteria; Pseudomonadati; Pseudomonadota; Gammaproteobacteria; Enterobacterales; Enterobacteriaceae.